Molecule: ribosomal RNA, 199 nt
Filed under: Limosilactobacillus reuteri
Lineage: Bacteria; Bacillati; Bacillota; Bacilli; Lactobacillales; Lactobacillaceae
Description: Lactobacillus reuteri partial 16S ribosomal RNA
Rfam family: Bacterial small subunit ribosomal RNA
Source: RNAcentral
UUUAUAUGAGAGUUUGAUCCUGGCUCAGGAUGAACGCCGGCGGUGUGCCUAAUACAUGCAAGUCGUACGCACUGGCCCAACUGAUUGAUGGUGCUUGCACCUGAUUGACGUUGGAUCACCAGUGAGUGGCGGACGGGUGAGUAACACGUAGGUAACCUGCCCCGGAGCGGGGGAUAACAUUUGGAAACAGAUGCUAAUA